UGAAGAUCAGAAAGGGAAAUGUUGUUGUCAUUUUUAAUAUUAGGCCAAGAGGUCAUGGCAAUAUAUUCCACUCUGCAUCCAUCGCUGACUUCAGAUGCACUCAUUUCUCCAAUCUUUAAAUAAGUGUUUCUGCUUAAUUUGCAGCCACUAAUUUCCACAAAUGUCGAGUUAUUAACAGCAAAUGACAGUUGAAUAUGAAGAUAGGCUCUGCUACUCUUUUAGUACUACUCUGUGAUCCAUUAUUAGUGUAAUUAUCAUAUGGAUGAAAACGCAAACUAUUCAUGUAUUGUUGAAGGCUGGUAAGCUGAGGUAAUAGAGAGCAUAAAUCUUGUGUUUGUAAAGUUAGAUCUACGACGUGAAUUGUGUGAUUAACAUAGUUGAUGGCUUGAACGUGCAACUUCUUGGAGAAUAACCAUAUAACCGUUUGGUUACCUUCACAAGCUAAUUCAUAUUCUGGAAAUCUCAUUGCACCGGUAUUUGAGCCAAAAAGGUAUUGAUAUUUUGGAUCGGUAUUUAAACGAAAAGGUUAUCUUAUGUCAGGGAUAUUUCCACAAGCAGAACGGACAUAGUAGUGAAAUUCGAUCUUCCUAGCAUAGCAUGUUUCAGAAAUCUUCAGAAAGAUGAUCAAGAUUAUUGUUAUACAUUUUAGAAGAGAGGUUCCUCUAGACAUAUCAAAGAGGUUAACUGCUGAUUAAAAGGAUGAGCUUUCUUA
This 712-nucleotide long non-coding RNA is filed under the name Solanum tuberosum (potato). RNAcentral describes it as "long non-coding RNA (STUB_LNC003089)". The record is from RNAcentral. Lineage: Eukaryota; Viridiplantae; Streptophyta; Magnoliopsida; Solanales; Solanaceae.